Molecule: non-coding RNA, 135 nt
Organism: Triticum aestivum (bread wheat)
Lineage: Eukaryota; Viridiplantae; Streptophyta; Magnoliopsida; Poales; Poaceae
Source: Rfam
AAACUACUCCCUCCGUCCCAAAAUUCUUGUCUUAAAUUUGUCUAAAUACGGAUAUACCUAGUUAAGUUCUAAUGUUAGAUAUAUCCGUAUCUAGACAAAUCAAAGACAAGAAUUUUGGGACGGAGGGAGUAUGAA